Molecule: ribosomal RNA, 2436 nt
Filed under: Staphylococcus aureus M0195
Lineage: Bacteria; Bacillati; Bacillota; Bacilli; Caryophanales; Staphylococcaceae
Description: bacterial LSU rRNA
Rfam family: Bacterial large subunit ribosomal RNA
Source: RNAcentral
UUAAGUUAUUAAGGGCGCACGGUGGAUGCCUUGGCACUAGAAGCCGAUGAAGGACGUUACUAACGACGAUAUGCUUUGGGGAGCUGUAAGUAAGCUUUGAUCCAGAGAUUUCCGAAUGGGGAAACCCAGCAUGAGUUAUGUCAUGUUAUCGAUAUGUGAAUACAUAGCAUAUCAGAAGGCACACCCGGAGAACUGAAACAUCUUAGUACCCGGAGGAAGAGAAAGAAAAUUCGAUUCCCUUAGUAGCGGCGAGCGAAACGGGAAGAGCCCAAACCAAAAAGCUUGCUUGUUGGGGUUGUAGGACACUCUAUACGGAGUUACAAAGGACGACAUUAGACGAAUCAUCUGGAAAGAUGAAUCAAAGAAGGUAAUAAUCCUGUAGUCGAAAAUGUUGUCUCUCUUGAGUGGAUCCUGAGUACGACGGAGCACGUGAAAUUCCGUCGGAAUCUGGGAGGACCAUCUCCUAAGGCUAAAUACUCUCUAGUGACCGAUAGUGAACCAGUACCGUGAGGGAAAGGUGAAAAGCACCCCGGAAGGGGAGUGAAAUAGAACCUGAAACCGUGUGCUUACAAGUAGUCAGAGCCCGUUAAUGGGUGAUGGCGUGCCUUUUGUAGAAUGAACCGGCGAGUUACGAUUUGAUGCAAGGUUAAGCAGUAAAUGUGGAGCCGUAGCGAAAGCGAGUCUGAAUAGGGCGUUUAGUAUUUGGUCGUAGACCCGAAACCAGGUGAUCUACCCUUGGUCAGGUUGAAGUUCAGGUAACACUGAAUGGAGGACCGAACCGACUUACGUUGAAAAGUGAGCGGAUGAACUGAGGGUAGCGGAGAAAUUCCAAUCGAACCUGGAGAUAGCUGGUUCUCUCCGAAAUAGCUUUAGGGCUAGCCUCAAGUGAUGAUUAUUGGAGGUAGAGCACUGUUUGGACGAGGGGCCCCUCUCGGGUUACCGAAUUCAGACAAACUCCGAAUGCCAAUUAAUUUAACUUGGGAGUCAGAACAUGGGUGAUAAGGUCCGUGUUCGAAAGGGAAACAGCCCAGACCACCAGCUAAGGUCCCAAAAUAUAUGUUAAGUGGAAAAGGAUGUGGCGUUGCCCAGACAACUAGGAUGUUGGCUUAGAAGCAGCCAUCAUUUAAAGAGUGCGUAAUAGCUCACUAGUCGAGUGACACUGCGCCGAAAAUGUACCGGGGCUAAACAUAUUACCGAAGCUGUGGAUUGUCCUUUGGACAAUGGUAGGAGAGCGUUCUAAGGGCGUUGAAGCAUGAUCGUAAGGACAUGUGGAGCGCUUAGAAGUGAGAAUGCCGGUGUGAGUAGCGAAAGACGGGUGAGAAUCCCGUCCACCGAUUGACUAAGGUUUCCAGAGGAAGGCUCGUCCGCUCUGGGUUAGUCGGGUCCUAAGCUGAGGCCGACAGGCGUAGGCGAUGGAUAACAGGUUGAUAUUCCUGUACCACCUAUAAUCGUUUUAAUCGAUGGGGGGACGCAGUAGGAUAGGCGAAGCGUGCGAUUGGAUUGCACGUCUAAGCAGUAAGGCUGAGUAUUAGGCAAAUCCGGUACUCGUUAAGGCUGAGCUGUGAUGGGGAGAAGACAUUGAGUCUUCGAGUCGUUGAUUUCACACUGCCGAGAAAAGCCUCUAGAUAGAAAAUAGGUGCCCGUACCGCAAACCGACACAGGUAGUCAAGAUGAGAAUUCUAAGGUGAGCGAGCGAACUCUCGUUAAGGAACUCGGCAAAAUGACCCCGUAACUUCGGGAGAAGGGGUGCUCUUUAGGGUUAACGCCCAGAAGAGCCGCAGUGAAUAGGCCCAAGCGACUGUUUAUCAAAAACACAGGUCUCUGCUAAACCGUAAGGUGAUGUAUAGGGGCUGACGCCUGCCCGGUGCUGGAAGGUUAAGAGGAGUGGUUAGCUUCUGCGAAGCUACGAAUCGAAGCCCCAGUAAACGGCGGCCGUAACUAUAACGGUCCUAAGGUAGCGAAAUUCCUUGUCGGGUAAGUUCCGACCCGCACGAAAGGCGUAACGAUUUGGGCACUGUCUCAACGAGAGACUCGGUGAAAUCAUAGUACCUGUGAAGAUGCAGGUUACCCGCGACAGGACGGAAAGACCCCGUGGAGCUUUACUGUAGCCUGAUAUUGAAAUUCGGCACAGCUUGUACAGGAUAGGUAGGAGCCUUUGAAACGUGAGCGCUAGCUUACGUGGAGGCGCUGGUGGGAUACUACCCUAGCUGUGUUGGCUUUCUAACCCGCACCACUUAUCGUGGUGGGAGACAGUGUCAAGCGGGCAGUUUGACUGGGGCGGUCGCCUCCUAAAAGGUAACGGAGGCGCUCAAAGGUUCCCUCAGAAUGGUUGGAAAUCAUUCAUAGAGUGUAAAGGCAUAAGGGAGCUUGACUGCGAGACCUACAAGUCGAGCAGGGUCGAAAGACGGACUUAGUGAUCCGGUGGUUCCGCAUGGA